RNAcentral lists this ribosomal RNA (254 nucleotides) under uncultured bacterium. RNAcentral's name for it is "partial 16S ribosomal RNA". It matches the Rfam family "Bacterial small subunit ribosomal RNA", at positions 524 to 776 of the family's 1533-position model. The record is from RNAcentral.
UACGUAGGGAGCAAGCGUUGUCCGGAAUCAUUGGGCGUAAAGCGCGCGUAGGUGGCUUCGUAAGUCCGUUGUGAAAGUCAAAGGCUCAACCUUUGAAAGCCGAUGGAUACUGCGGAGCUAGAGUACGGAAGAGGCGAGUGGAACUGCGAGUGUAGAGGUGAAAUUCGUAGAUAUUCGCAAGAACACCAGUGGCGAAGGCGGGCUCACUGGCCCGGUACUGACGCUGAGGUGCGAAAGCGUGGGGAGCAAACAGG